This 313-nucleotide unclassified non-coding RNA is filed under the name uncultured Cystolepiota. RNAcentral describes it as "sequence contains ITS2". The stretch from base 1 to 52 matches the Rfam family "5.8S ribosomal RNA", at positions 103 to 154 of the family's 154-position model. The record is from RNAcentral. Lineage: Eukaryota; Fungi; Basidiomycota; Agaricomycetes; Agaricales; Agaricaceae.
AACGCACCUUGCGCUCCUUGGUAUUCCGAGGAGCAUGCCUGUUUGAGUGUCAUUAAAUUCUCAACCCAUCCAGUUUUAAUAACUGGUGUGUGGCUUGGAUGUGGGGGUCUCUGCCGGCCUUUGUAAUAAGAGGUCAGCUCCCCUGAAAUGCAUUAGCGGAACGGUUUGCGAUCCGUCACUGGUGUGAUAAUUAUCUAUGCCAAAGACUUGUGAACGCUCUCUGUCUGUUCAGCUUCUAACAGUCCCUUCAUGUGGACAACCUUUAUAAUGAACAUUUGACCUCAAAUCAGGUAGGACUACCCGCUGAACUUAA